CUCAACCUUGGAAUUGCAUUCCAAACUGAAAGACUGGAGUACGAUAGAGGGAGGUAGAAUUCAGAGUGUAGCGGUGAAAUGCGUAGAUAUUCUGAGGAAUACCAGUGGCGAAGGCGGCCUCCUGGAUUGAUACUGACACUGAGGCGCGAAAGUGUGGGGAGCAAACAGGAUUAGAUACCCUGGUAGUCCACGCCGUAAACGAUGUCUACUAGCCGUUGGGAGGCUUGACCUCUUAGUGGCGAAGCAAACGCGAUAAGUAGACCGCCUGGGGAGUACGGUCGCAAGAUUAAAACUCAAAUGAAUUGACGGGGGCCCGCACAAGCGGUGGAGCAUGUGGUUUAAUUCGAUGCAACGCGAAAAACCUUACCAGGCCUUGACAUCCUGAGAACUUUCUAGAGAUAGAUUGGUGCCUUCGGGAGCUC
This 422-nucleotide ribosomal RNA is filed under the name uncultured Gammaproteobacteria bacterium. RNAcentral describes it as "bacterial SSU rRNA". It matches the Rfam family "Bacterial small subunit ribosomal RNA", at positions 608 to 1029 of the family's 1533-position model. The record is from RNAcentral. Lineage: Bacteria; Pseudomonadati; Pseudomonadota; Gammaproteobacteria.